AAUUUAACAUAUAUAAUAAAUAUAAUGCCAAACACCAUUUCAAUGGUUUUCACUCUGCGAGGACCAUUUUUAUGCAGUGAAUUCUUCAUAAGGUUUUGAAGAAGAUAUACAUAUAAAUGCAGAUUAUAGAUAUGAUGCGUGAUGAGAGAAACCUAAACAGCCAGAUCAUCAUGUGACCAAAAAUAGAGCAAUAGUCGACAUAGCAUGAGCUACAGCAUCUCAUAAAAGCUACUCUCUCUCUCUCUCACUCUCCCCUCCCUCACAAUAUGCAGACUCGAAUCUAACCAUAUUCUUUGUUCCAUCUCUCAGAAAUUAUAUGUUUUCCCCAGGAUUGGAGGUAAUCUGGCCCCAAAGAUUUUUAAAAACCAGCUCAGGGGCAGUAAAGGAAAGCAGAACCAAAAUUCCCCAUUAAUGACACCAAACAGGCCACCACCGAUAUUCAAGGGAUAGAAAACACAAUACCCCCCACAAAAACCAUACAUACAUCCCAGUAGACUCAAGCUCCUAGCUCUUGUAAUAAAUGUUUUUCAUUUCUUCUCAUUUCUCUUCUUUUUUUUUUUUUUUCUUAUUUUUCCCUUUUAAUUUUUCAUCUGUCUUUAUAAAGUUGUUUUCUUUUGUUUUCCUUCUAAUUGUCUUUCUAAUUGCCCCACGAGAAAUCAUGUUUCAUCGUGCCAAGGCAAGACCACUACCAUCAAAAAAAUACGAGACAUCCACCACUGUAAUCAAAACCCUCACUCUGCACCUUCCACCAAGAAGUUGCAGUAGAAUGUGCAUUUGCACACAUUUUACUUACUCAAAUUUCUUGCUAAAGUAGAUGAAGUUGAAACUCCUUGUACACUAACUUGACCUGUUCCUUCAGUAGUGGAUACUAGUGACUGGCUUUUCAAGUCCCCAGAUGAUGAUCUACCAAGAGAGGCCUCAUUACGAACAUCUGCUGGACUCCUUCCACUGCUGUGGCUACUGGCAUUUUCCUCCAAUGAAAUACGCUGGACACGGGCUGCCAGCAUGUCAUGACUGGACCUCCCAAGUGUCGGGUGACCUGAAACACUUGGAAACUGAACAGAAGGUGGCAUUAUCCAUCUCAUCCAAUCAUUUCGCCUCCUUACUUUGUCACCCUGUACUUCAACAACAGUUGAACUUCUUAUAGCUUCCGAUAUAAACUGGAUAUUGUCAGUCAAAUGAGAAACUUUGUUGAAGCCUGCUAUUAGUUUAAUAGAUACCCAGCCCUGGUCAUCCA
This 1237-nucleotide unclassified non-coding RNA is filed under the name Hevea brasiliensis (rubber tree). The record is from RNAcentral. Lineage: Eukaryota; Viridiplantae; Streptophyta; Magnoliopsida; Malpighiales; Euphorbiaceae.